Molecule: ribosomal RNA, 372 nt
Filed under: uncultured organism
Description: partial 16S ribosomal RNA
Rfam family: Bacterial small subunit ribosomal RNA
Source: RNAcentral
GAACCGGACAAACGUUAUUCGGAAUUAUUGGGCUUAAAGGGUGCGUAGGCGGCGCGGUAAGUGAGGUGUGAAAGCCCACGACUCAAUCGUGGAACUGCGCUUCAUACUGCCGUGCUAGAGGGAGACAGAGGUAAGCGGAACUGAUGGUGGAGCGGUGAAAUGCGUUGAUAUUAUCAGGAACACCAGUGGCGAAAGCGGCUUACUGGGUCUCUUCUGACGCUGAGGCACGAAAGCUAGGGGUAGCGAACGGGAUUAGAUACCCCGGUAGUCCUAGCUGUAAACGAUGAGCACUUGGUUGGGGAUCCUCCCCAUAGGUUCCCGACCGUAGCGAAAGUGUUAAGUGCUCCGCCUGGGGAUAUGGUCGCAAGGCUG